GAUGAAGAACGCAGCGAAAUGCGAUAAGUAAUGUGAAUUGCAGAAUUCAGUGAAUCAUCGAAUCUUUGAACGCACAUUGCGCCCCUUGGUAUUCCGAGGGGCAUGCCUGUUCGAGCGUCAUUACAACCCUCAAGCUCUGCUUGGUAUUGGGCGUCGUCCUCUUGCGGACGCGCCUCAAAGACCUCGGCGAUGGCGUCUAGCCAUCAAGCGUAGUAGAAUACACCUCGCUUUGGAGUGGUUGGCGUUGUCCGCCGGACGAACCUUCUGAAUUUUCUCAAGGUUGACCUCGGAUCAGGUAGGGAUACCCGCUGAACUUAAGCAUAUCAAUAAGCGGAGGA
RNAcentral lists this unclassified non-coding RNA (338 nucleotides) under soil metagenome. Its description in RNAcentral is "partial contains 5.8S ribosomal RNA, internal transcribed spacer 2, and large subunit ribosomal RNA". The stretch from base 1 to 120 matches the Rfam family "5.8S ribosomal RNA", at positions 35 to 154 of the family's 154-position model. The record is from RNAcentral.